MicroRNA precursor from Astatotilapia calliptera (eastern happy), 59 nucleotides. Lineage: Eukaryota; Metazoa; Chordata; Actinopteri; Cichliformes; Cichlidae. The record is from Ensembl.
UUUGUCCUCGCUUUGAUCUAGUGAUUAUUACCAGUUCAUUGGCUCUGUAGAGGACUGGA